RNAcentral lists this ribosomal RNA (253 nucleotides) under uncultured bacterium. RNAcentral's name for it is "partial 16S ribosomal RNA". It matches the Rfam family "Bacterial small subunit ribosomal RNA", at positions 524 to 776 of the family's 1533-position model. The record is from RNAcentral.
UACGUAGGGACCAAGCGUUGUUCGGAUUUACUGGGCGUAAAGGGCGCGUAGGCGGCAAAUUAAGUCAUCUGUGAAAUCUCCGAGCUUAACUCGGAACGGUCAGGUGAUACUGAUCUGCUAGAGUGCGGAAGGGGCAAUCGGAAUUCUUGGUGUAGCGGUGAAAUGCGUAGAUAUCAGGAGGAACACCGGUGGCGAAGGCGGGUCUCUGGGCCGAUACUGACGCUGAGGAGCGAAAGCGUGGGGAGCGAACAGG